AUGAGGGCCACUGUCGCCCCGGACCGCCAGGGCAACUCCCUGGACCUCUCUGAGCCUUGUUUCCUUUCUAUUGGCCCAGAUGCUCGGGGCAAAAUACUUGGGGUCCUCCAUGUCUCUGUCUCUGUUUUCUUUCUUCUCUCUCUCUGUUUCCUUCCUUCUUUCUUGUCUUUCUUCUUUCUCUAUCUCUCCUUCCUUCCUUCCUUCCUUUCUCUUUCUUUUCUUUCUUUGCCAUCCUUCUUUCUUUCCUCUAUCUCUCCUUCCUCCCUUCCCUCCCUCCCUCCUUUCUUUCUUCUCCAUCCUUCUUUCUUUCCUUUAUCUCUAUCUCUCCUUCUUUUCUUUCUCCUUCUUCCCUUCCCUCCCUCUCUUCCUUUCUUUCUUCCUCUCUUUCUUCUCCUUCUCAGGUCUCACUUUGUUGCCCAGGCUGCUCUUCAACUCCCAGGCUUCAGUGACCCUCCUGCCUCUGCCCCGCAAAGUACUGGGAUUACAGGAGCGAACCACCAUGCCUGGCCUCUAUCUCUGCCCCUGUCCCUUUCUCUCUCUCUUUCUCUCUCUCUCUCUCUCUCCCUCUCUCUCUCUCUCUCUCGUAUCAGCAAAUCCCAAGGGCUCUGUUUUCAAAAUCUAUCCAGCAUCUACCCACUUUUUACCUCCUCCACGGCCCCUACCUGGUCCGGCCCCAUCAACUCCCCCUUGGCCCAGUGCAGGCUCCUCUGCCCUGGUCUCCUGGCUCCUGCCCUUGCUCGCCCCCUCCAUGCUUUUCUGUCAGGGCACGUCCCUCCUCUGCUCAAGGACGCUCCAGGGCUCCCACCUCACCCAGUGCAAAAGCCAAAUUUCUCCUUGUGGCCCACAGGGUCCUGCAGGAUCUGCUCAGCACUUAUCUGCCCACACCUCCUCCUCUUCCCUUUGCUCAUUCCCUUCAGCCAUGCCAGCUUCCUUGCCCUUGGGCAAGCUCCUACCUUAGGGGUUUGCAGGGCAGUUCCCUCUCCACUUGUGGCACCACCUCCUCCUCCAGAUCCCCGCAUGGCUUUCUCUCGCCCCCUUCAGGUCUUUUUUUUUUUUUGA
RNAcentral lists this long non-coding RNA (1059 nucleotides) under Papio anubis (olive baboon). Its description in RNAcentral is "lncRNA (ENSPANG00000039271.1)". Lineage: Eukaryota; Metazoa; Chordata; Mammalia; Primates; Cercopithecidae. The record is from RNAcentral.